RNAcentral lists this ribosomal RNA (253 nucleotides) under uncultured bacterium. RNAcentral describes it as "partial 16S ribosomal RNA". It matches the Rfam family "Bacterial small subunit ribosomal RNA", at positions 524 to 776 of the family's 1533-position model. The record is from RNAcentral.
UACGUAGGGGGCAAGCGUUGUCCGGAUUUAUUGGGCGUAAAGAGCGUGUAGGCGGUUAUGUAAGACAGGUGUGAAAUCCCAGGGCUUAACCUUGGAACUGCAUUUGUGACUGCAUAGCUAGAGUACGGUAGAGGGGGAUGGAAUUCCGCGUGUAGCAGUGAAAUGCGUAGAUAUCAGGAGGAACACCAGUGGCGAAGGCGGUGCUCUGGGCCGGAACUGACGCUGAGGAGCGAAAGCGUGGGGAGCAAACAGG